GACGAACGCUGGCGGCGUGCUUAACACAUGCAAGUCGAACGGAAAGGCUCCAGCUUGCUGGAGUACUCGAGUGGCGAACGGGUGAGUAACACGUGGGUAAUCUGCCCUGCACUCUGGGAUAAGCCUGGGAAACUGGGUCUAAUACUGGAUAUGACCUUUCUCCUUAUGGGGUUUGGUGGAAAGUUUUUCGGUGUAGGAUGAGCCCGCGGCCUAUCAGCUUGUUGGUGGGGUGAUGGCCUACCAAGGCAACGACGGGUAGCCGGCCUGAGAGGGUGAUCGGCCACAUUGGGACUGAGAUACGGCCCAGACUCCUACGGGAGGCAGCAGUGGGGAAUAUUGCACAAUGGGCGGAAGCCUGAUGCAGCGACGCCGCGUGAGGGAUGACGGCCUUCGGGUUGUAAACCUCUUUCAGCAGGGACGAAGCGUAAGUGACGGUACCUGCAGAAGAAGCACCGGCUAACUACGUG
RNAcentral lists this ribosomal RNA (467 nucleotides) under uncultured bacterium. RNAcentral describes it as "partial 16S ribosomal RNA". It matches the Rfam family "Bacterial small subunit ribosomal RNA", at positions 28 to 507 of the family's 1533-position model. The record is from RNAcentral.